UACGAAGGGGACUAGCGUUGUUCGGAAUCACUGGGCGUAAAGCGCACGUAGGCGGAUUCGUAAGUCAGGGGUGAAGUCCCGGGGCUCAACCUCGGAACUGCCUUUGAUACUGCGGGUCUUGAGUCCGAUAGAGGUGGGUGGAAUUCCUAGUGUAGAGGUGAAAUUCGUAGAUAUUAGGAAGAACACCGGUGGCGAAGGCGGCCCACUGGAUCGGUACUGACGCUGCGGUGCGAAAGCGUGGGGAGCAAACAGG
This 253-nucleotide ribosomal RNA is filed under the name uncultured bacterium. Its description in RNAcentral is "partial 16S ribosomal RNA". It matches the Rfam family "Bacterial small subunit ribosomal RNA", at positions 524 to 776 of the family's 1533-position model. The record is from RNAcentral.